UUGGUACUCCCUCCGAUCCAUAUUAAUUGUCUCAAAUUUGCCCAAAUAUGGAUGUAUCCAUGCGUAAAAAGCGUCUAGAUACAUGUAAUAUUUCGACAAUUAAUAUGGAUCGGAGGGAGUAGUAG
This is a non-coding RNA of Brachypodium distachyon (stiff brome), 125 nucleotides long. The record is from Rfam. NCBI's taxonomy places the organism in Eukaryota, Viridiplantae, Streptophyta, Magnoliopsida, Poales, Poaceae.